RNAcentral lists this ribosomal RNA (490 nucleotides) under uncultured bacterium. Its description in RNAcentral is "partial 16S ribosomal RNA". It matches the Rfam family "Bacterial small subunit ribosomal RNA", at positions 29 to 507 of the family's 1533-position model. The record is from RNAcentral.
AGUGAACGCUGGCGGUAGGCCUAACACAUGCAAGUCGAACGGCAGCACAGUAAGAGCUUGCUCUUACGGGUGGCGAGUGGCGGACGGGUGAGGAAUACAUCGGAAUCUACUUUUUCGUGGGGGAUAACGUAGGGAAACUUACGCUAAUACCGCAUACGACCUACGGGUGGAAGCAGGGGAUCUUCGGACCUUGCGCGAUUGAAUGAGCCGAUGUCGGAUUAGCUAGUUGGCGGGGUAAAGGCCCACCAAGGCGACGAUCCGUAGCUGGUCUGAGGAUGAUCAGCCACACUGGAACUGAGACACGGUCCAGACUCCUACGGGAGGCAGCAGUGGGGAAUAUUGGACAAUGGGCGCAAGCCCGAUCCAGCCAUACCGCGUGGGUGAAGAAGGCCUUCGGGUUGUAAAGCCCUUUUGUUGGGAAAGAAAAGCAGCAGGUUAAUACCCCGCUGUUCUGACGGUACCCAAAGAAUAAGCACCGGCUAACUUCGUG